UACGAAGGGGGCUAGCGUUGUUCGGAAUUACUGGGCGUAAAGCGCACGUAGGCGGAUAUUUAAGUCAGGGGUGAAAUCCCAGAGCUCAACUCUGGAACUGCCUUUGAUACUGGGUAUCUCGAGUAUGGAAGAGGUGAGUGGAAUUCCGCGUGUAGUGGUGAAAUACGUAGAUAUCUGGAGGAACACCGGUGGCGAAGGCGGCGAUCUGGCCCAACAUUGACACUGAGACCCGAAAGCGUGGGGAUCAAACAGG
RNAcentral lists this ribosomal RNA (253 nucleotides) under uncultured bacterium. RNAcentral describes it as "partial 16S ribosomal RNA". It matches the Rfam family "Bacterial small subunit ribosomal RNA", at positions 524 to 776 of the family's 1533-position model. The record is from RNAcentral.